CAGUCGCCACGGUAAUACAGAGGGUGCGAGCGUUAAUCGGAUUUACUGGGCGUAAAGCGUGCGUAGGCGGCUUUUUAAGUCGGAUGUGAAAUCCCUGAGCUUAACUUAGGAAUUGCAUUCGAUACUGGGAAGCUAGAGUAUGGGAGAGGAUGGUAGAAUUCCAGGUGUAGCGGUGAAAUGCGUAGAGAUCUGGAGGAAUACCGAUGGCGAAGGCAGCCAUCUGGCCUAAUACUGACGCUGAGGUACGAAAGCAUGGGGAGCAAACAGGAUUAGAGACCCCCGUAGUCCCUGUCUCUUAUAU
Molecule: ribosomal RNA, 301 nt
Filed under: uncultured bacterium
Lineage: Bacteria
Description: partial 16S ribosomal RNA
Rfam family: Bacterial small subunit ribosomal RNA
Source: RNAcentral